RNAcentral lists this long non-coding RNA (3948 nucleotides) under Olea europaea subsp. europaea. The record is from RNAcentral. Lineage: Eukaryota; Viridiplantae; Streptophyta; Magnoliopsida; Lamiales; Oleaceae.
UUUCACUCCAAAUCAACCCACCUACGCACCUAAAACCGCCACUCCCUUCAAGCGAUUGAUGGACUUUGAGUUUCAGGCGAAGAACUAGAAAGGAUUAUGUUACCGAUGUGAUGAGCAGUUCACUAUUGGGCAUCGAUGCAAAAAUAAAGAAUUACAGGUAAUGGCGAUAAGGGAAAAUGAAGAAGAAGAUACUGGAGAUGGAGGGGAACCGGGCUUUGGAGGCGGUGGGUAUAGUUAUGGUGCCGAUUGCUUCCACAUGCACCUAGAAGAUCAUGAGAUAGAAUUAGGGGCGCAGGUUGAACUCUCCAUAAAUUCGAUGGUAGGACUUACCACCAUUAAAAAGAUGAAAAUCAUAGCAGUGUGGGAAAUAAAAGUGUGGUUGACUUGGUCGAUUGUGGAGCCUCACAUAACUUCAUCUCUGCAGAAGUGGUUCGACAGCUGGGACUACCUCUUUCCAGCACCACCAGGUAUGGCGUUAUCAUGGGCAUGGGGCUAACAGUAAAAGGGCAAGGAAUCUACAAGGGAGUGAAACUAUAGCUUCAGAACGUAAUGGUAGAAGAUGACUUUCUGCCAUUAGAGUUAGGCAGUUCAGACAUCAUCUUGGGGAUGCAAUGGUUGCGCAAGCUGGGUGAAAUGAAAGUCAAUUGGCAAACUUUAACCAUGACAUUUAACAUGGUUGGUGUGACAGUGACGCUGCAGGGGGAUCCCAGUCUAAGCAGAGCUUCAGUGUCUAUAAAGUCAUUGAUAAAGGCACUCAAGGCUUAAGGAGAAAGGGUGCUGUUAGAGUUAGGAAGCAUUAUGGUUCAGGAUAAUUCAUUUCGCCUAGAUCCCCUAGCACAAAUUUCAGAGGUACUAGAAGAAUUUCGUCAUGUCUUUAAGAUGCGAAACUGUAUCCCUUCCCCUAGAAGGCACGAUCACGCUAUCAAUCUCCAACUUGGGGCAGCUCCAGUAAAUGUGCGGCCUUAUUGGUAUCCUCAUUUCGAGAAGAAUGAGAUUGAGAAAUUAUUAUGGAAAAUGUUAGUGGUAGGGAUAGUUCAAUAGAGCAUAAGUCCUUUCUCAAGUGCAAUUUAGUUAAAGGACGAAGGGUGGAAAUUCUGUGUGGACUAUCGGGCCUUGAAAAAAGUAACAAUUCCAGACAAAUUUUCGAUUCCAGUAAUUGAUGAGUUGCUUGACGAACUUGGGGAGUGCUACCAUAUUUUCCAAUAUAGAUUUGAAAUCAGGAUACCAUCAAAUUAGGGUGAGACCGAAGGUGUACUAAAGACAGCUUUUAGAACCCAUUAAGGCCAUUAUGAAUUCCUCGUCAUGCUGUUUGGGCUGACUAAUGCACUGGCCACCUUCAAAUCAUUAAUGAAUGAGAUUUUUAAAAGAUACAUGUAGAAGUUUGUGCUGGUGUUCUUUGGUGAUAUUCUUGUUUACAGCUGCACAACCGAGGAGCAUAAAAGUCAUUUCAGAACAGUGCUGCAAGUGCUGUCGGACAACCAGAUUUAUGCUAAUGAAAAGAAAUGCAGGUUCAACCAGCAGAAACUGGAGUAUUUAGGGCAUGUUAUUCAGCAUCCGGGGUAGCAGCGGAUGAAUCCAAAGUGACAGCUAUGAGGGAUUGGCCCCAACCAACAACAAUCAAGGAGUUAAGAGGAUUUUUAGGGCUUACCAGAUACUAUCGUCGGUUUGUGAAAUCUUAUAGGAGCAUAGCUUGGCCCUAGAUGUAACAGUUAAAGAAGGACAACUUUGAGUGGUUGGAAAAAGCUGAGGAGGCAUUCGCUAAGUUGAAAAAUGCCAUGAUGACAUUACCUAUAUUUAGAUUACCCAACUUCUGCCAGCCCUUUGUGGUGGAAACCGAUGCAUCAAGGUAUGGAGUAGGGGCCGUCCUCAUGCAAAAUAAGAGACCAAUUGCAUACUUCAGUCAAACUCGUCCUCUAAGGGCUCGGUGUAAGUCAAUAUAUGAAAUGGAACUUAUGGCCAUUGUAUUAGCAGUACAAAAUGGAAACAUUAUUUACUGGGUCAUAGAUUUGUAGUGCAAACUGAUCAGCGUAGCCUCAAAUUCCUAUUGAAGCAAAGGGAGGUGAAUCAGGAAUACCAAAAGUGGCUUACCAAACUUCUCGGAUUCGAUUUCGACAUCGAAUAAAAGGUCGGUCUCGAAAAUAAGGCAACGGAUGCUCUUUCUAGGGAGGAUGCAACGACAGCUCUCAUGGCCCUAGGUUUGCCCCAGUCUUUAGAUCUAGCACAAUGUCCAAGGUAUUCCUUGCUGAGAGAUAACCUGUUGUAUCACGGCAGACUAGUGCUACCAUGAGACCCACAGUUUGUGCAACUAGCCUUACAGGAAGGGCAUAACAGUAAGGUAUGAGGGCAUGGGAGAUUUCUAAAGACUUAUAGGAGAGUGGCAUAAACUUUUUUUUUUGGAAAGGGAUGAGACGGGAUGUCCGGACCUAUGUUGCUACGUGUGAAAUUUGUCAGCAACAUAAAUAUUCCACCUUGGCACCAGUAGGACUGCUCCAGCCACUGCCCAUAUCUCAAUGGAUUUUGUAGAAGGGCUGCCAAAAUCAGAGGCUUUUGACUCGAUUUUGGUAAUAGUAGAUCUUUUAAGCAAAUAUGCACAUUUAAUUGGCCUGAAGCAUCCUUUUUCAGCCCCAUCAGUUGCUUCAAUUUUUGUUAAAGAAGUGGUUAAGCUUCAUGGAGUGCCCCGUUCCAUAGUCUCAGAUUAGCACAGGGUGUUCAUAAGCCAGUUCUAUAGUGAGCUUUAUAACUUGCAAGGAACCUCACUAAAACACAGUUUCACAUAUCACCCACAAAGCGACGAUCAGACAGAGGUGAUAAAUAGGGAUGUUGACACAUAUUUGCAGUGCUUUACUUUCAAUAAAACCAAGAAGGUGGUAUCAAUUUCUUCAUUGGGCUAAAUACUUCUUAUCACGUAUUGGCCCAACUCACCCCAGUUCCCAUCCUAUAUGGUCGCGAUCUACCCCCAUUAAUUCGCUUCGAGAGAGGUGUCACAGCCAUAUCCUCUUUGAAGCAACAAAUGCGGUGACGAGACAAAUUUUUGGAUGAAUUGAAGUUACAUCUCCAUAAAGCUCAGCAACAAAUGAAAUCAGCAGCCGACAAACAUAGGAGAAUGUGGAGUACACGGUAAGAGAUUGGGUUUAUAUGAAAAUGAGGCCAUAUAGGCGUUGGUCACUUAUGGUAUGCCACAAUGAGAAGUUAGCUCCGAGGUACUAUGGACCGUUUGAAGUAUUGGCAAGAGUGGGAAAAAUGGUUUACCGUUUGUCACUACCAGCUGAUGCCCGAGUUCACCCCGUUUUCCAUGUUUCGCAAUUUAGAUAAGUGGUCGGAAAGGCUCCAGUAACUUCUUCCCUGCCUCCUCAAAUUGAUAAAGACUGGAAGUUACUUGUGGAACCGAAAAUGGUGUUAGCAUUCAAACAGCCACAUAGGGUCCAUCAAAUGCUAUGAAAGUCUUGAAUUAGUGGAAAGGUUUAUCUCCUAUGGAAGCAAGUUUUGAACCCUUUGAAUUAAUCAACCAAUAGUUUCCUUCUUUGAACUCUUGCAGACAAGGUGACUGCAUUGGGAGGGGUAUUUGAUAAGCCUCCAAUUAAAUUCACUUAUACAAGGCAUAAGAAGGUCAAGCAAGUACAUGAUGGGGAAGCCAGACGUGACAACAAGAGUCCACAGGAAAUCUCUAGAAGAAAUGCUGAGUUAGUAAAUUUGUUAAGAAGUUGUUAGAGUUAGUUAAGGGAAAGAUAUAAAUAAACAUAUAGGAAGGAGAGCGAGGCAGCCAGAAAUUAAGAGAGGCGGAAGAGUUAGGAAGAAUUGUAUUUUUCCUCGAGUUCUUGUAUUUAUAGUAACGUUCUUUCAAUCUCAUUGAGGAAGUCUUUUUUUAAACAUUUUUCAUUGUUAUAGUGAGUUUGCGUUCAGUCCUUGAAUUACAGCCUAUUAGAUAUUUGAGAGACGAAUCAUAUUUUU